This is a long non-coding RNA of Grammomys surdaster, 400 nucleotides long. RefSeq lists it as uncharacterized. NCBI's taxonomy places the organism in Eukaryota, Metazoa, Chordata, Mammalia, Rodentia, Muridae. The transcript has 2 exons. The record is from RefSeq and is a predicted model, not a curated record.
AAGAGAAGCGGAGCUGGAGCCGGCUGAUCCCAUUUGCUGCGGCGCCUACAGGGAUGUGAAGCUCCUCUCUGCUCCAAGGCCUCUGUUCUGGUGGCCACGAGCAUAGCGUUGAUCUUGGCAAAAUCAUAGGCACUUGGACAACUUGUUAAGAAACAGUAAAGUUGAAGAAAAACUGCUAAGCAUGGUGGGGCUUUUAAAAAGCCGAAGCUAGAGAUUGAAAGAUGUCUCUGCAGACAAAGGCAAUAGAGAACAAACACGACAUCUAAGUUCGAUCCCUGGAGCACAAAGGAAAGUUGUUCUCUGAUCGCCACACGCGCACCCAUAAAUAAAGAAAGAGAGGCGCUAAAUAAAGAAGUUAAGAGCUGUCAUUGUGGAGAUUAAAAAAAUCAAAAGUUAUGAA